This 103-nucleotide transfer RNA is filed under the name Candidatus Woesearchaeota archaeon ex4484_78. RNAcentral's name for it is "tRNA-Lys". It matches the Rfam family "tRNA". Rfam says of the family: Transfer RNA (tRNA) molecules are approximately 80 nucleotides in length. Their secondary structure includes four short double-helical elements and three loops (D, anti-codon, and T loops). Further hydrogen bonds mediate the characteristic L-shaped molecular structure. tRNAs have two regions of fundamental functional importance: the anti-codon, which is responsible for specific mRNA codon recognition, and the 3' end, to which the tRNAs corresponding amino acid is attached (by aminoacyl-tRNA synthetases). tRNAs cope with the degeneracy of the genetic code in two manners: having more than one tRNA (with a specific anti-codon) for a particular amino acid; and 'wobble' base-pairing, i.e. permitting non-standard base-pairing at the 3rd anti-codon position. RNAcentral also lists the same sequence under 1 other name. Lineage: Archaea; Nanobdellati; Candidatus Woesearchaeota. The record is from RNAcentral.
GGACCGGUAGCUUAACCUGGUAGAGCACCUGGCUUUUAACCAGGGGAUUGCGGGUUCAAAAGUUUUGAGCUGUGGCUCAUGACUGAACGUCCCGUCCGGUCCG